RNAcentral lists this long non-coding RNA (832 nucleotides) under Ananas comosus (pineapple). Its description in RNAcentral is "long non-coding RNA (ACOM_LNC009365)". The record is from RNAcentral. Lineage: Eukaryota; Viridiplantae; Streptophyta; Magnoliopsida; Poales; Bromeliaceae.
AAUUUUUGGAGCUAAAACUGGGUGCACAAUUUGCAUUUAGGGGCCGUUUGGUUGGAUGUAGUUGUAAAAACAGUGUAAUUAAAAAUACAUGCAGUUGCAAAUGCUACAGUUAGUCUAUUUGGUUUUAUACAGUUGUAACUGCUGCUGCAGUUACAUUUCUUCUGUUUGGUAGGCUGCAAUUGAGAUUUGUAUUUAUAAAUGCUGUCAAAUUUUAGAUAGAAAUGUGAGAUUACCUCUUCUUAAGAUAACAUACUUAUGAGAUUAUAUAAUUAUUAAUUAAGACUUAUAUAUAUAUUAUAAAAUUAUAUAUGAAUUUAAUAAAUUUUAAAUGUAAACAUAUUAUAAAUUUGAUCGUAACAAAAAUUUUUUUAAAAAUAAAGUAAAUCAAUUACUAACAUCACAGGACUAGAGAGAGAGUAAUGAGUGUGAUGACUAUUUCUGUGUGUGAGAGAGAGAGAAAGAGAGAGACGCACCACCCUAGGACCUAUUGUGAAGCACGAGAAUUGAAGAAGCACGAGAGUUGAAUAACGGCCGCCGCAAACUCUAGGACCUAUUGUGAAUAGAUAUUUUCGGAAAAAAGAAAAUAGCAAAUGAAAAAAUUAGAGUUUAUUUUUUUUGGGUGAGCUAACUCGUGCCCAACUGCUCCAGUUGGUACUAACUGUCUACAGUAUCAACUGCAGCAAUUGGGCCCGUUCAUGUGGAUGCAACUGCUACAGUUAGGCCUAACUGCACCAAACUAAACAAAAAAGUAAUUGAUGCAUGCAUUUCCAACUGCACUGCAGUUGGAAAAGCAUGCAACCAAACUGCCUCUUAGUUUUCUGAAAACAAUAAA